UUCUGCCAGGAGAUCCCACCUGCCACAUUACGUAACACCAGGUGCUCAGAGUGCAGACGACUGAGGCCCCAUCGAACAGUCAGUAUGUGGGGCUCACUUUAACGUGUUGGCUGGGAAACACUUAUUUUAUGAUGUUGGAGAAAGAGUUAACGGGAUCACAGCUGCAGGGUUGACAUCCCGACACUCCGUCCAGGUUCCAGUAUCCGUCCUCACACUCGUCACAGAGGACGCCCACCACCCCCGCCCUGCAGGGACACUGUCCCGUCCUUGAAUCACAGAAACAGGGACUUCCCAGAGGACACUGAGUCACCUCCGUUCCCCGCCGGUCACAGGAGCAUUCUGGGAAUGAACCGUCAGCUGUGAGCUUUGGUAGGACAUGAAGACUUCCUCACCGAGUCCAUCAGGAUGUGAGAGCUGGAGGAGGCAUCGGGUCCUGGUUGUCUGUGGAAGACUACGUCCACGAGGUAGCGACCUCCCGCGUUCAGACACACUGGAGAGUCCAGCACAGCCCCCCUGGAGGCAGACAGCGGUAACAACACGACACGUAGGACCAGAGUUUUACUUCCUGUCGGGUCGCUGCUGCAGCGGCCGUCGCCUCGUGACACUGUGGUGAUGAAGACUAAAGCCAGCCAAUCAGAGGGCGCCUGCAGGGGAAGAUCAGCAGAUGUUACAAUACAGAAGAGGAAUUUCACAUUAAAGCAGCAAGAGAAUGAAAGUCAUCCUGCAGCCAAAGUUUCCUUUUAAAUUCUUAACACAUGAGAGUGUGAAUAAAGUCACGUAAUUAUUCAGAAAAUUAUCCCUUGAUCCUUUUUGGUUUUUAAUUUGAAAAAGAAAAAUAUCAUUUUAAAAUUAACAUUUGUCUGUAAAAAGUCAGUCAGUGUU
Long non-coding RNA from Scatophagus argus, 882 nucleotides. RefSeq lists it as uncharacterized. The record is from RefSeq and is a predicted model, not a curated record. The transcript is spliced from 4 exons. NCBI's taxonomy places the organism in Eukaryota, Metazoa, Chordata, Actinopteri, Scatophagidae.